AUUACCGAGUGCGGGCCCCUCGGGGCCCAACCUCCCACCCGUGUUGCCCGAACCUAUGUUGCCUCGGCGGGCCCCGCGCCCGCCGACGGCCCCCCUGAACGCUGUCUGAAGUUGCAGUCUGAGACCUAUAACGAAAUUAGUUAAAACUUUCAACAACGGAUCUCUUGGUUCCGGCAUCGAUGAAGAACGCAGCGAAAUGCGAUAACUAAUGUGAAUUGCAGAAUUCAGUGAAUCAUCGAGUCUUUGAACGCACAUUGCGCCCUCUGGUAUUCCGGAGGGCAUGCCUGUCCGAGCGUCAUUGCUGCCCUCAAGCCCGGCUUGUGUGUUGGGCCCCGUCCCCCCCGCCGGGGGGACGGGCCCGAAAGGCAGCGGCGGCACCGCGUCCGGUCCUCGAGCGUAUGGGGCUUCGUCACCCGCUCUAGUAGGCCCGGCCGGCGCCAGCCGACCCCCAACCUUUAAUUAUCUCAGGUUGACCUCGGAUCAGGUAGGGAUACCCGCUGAACUUAAGCAUAUCAAUAAGCGGAGGAAAAGAAACCAACCGGGAUUGCCCUAGUAACGGCGAGUGAAGCGGCAAGAGCUCAAAUUUGAAAGCUGGCCCCCUCGGGGUCCGCAUUGUAAUUUGCAGAGGAUGCUUCGGGAACGGC
Molecule: ribosomal RNA, 644 nt
Filed under: fungal endophyte
Lineage: Eukaryota; Fungi
Description: eukaryotic LSU rRNA
Rfam family: 5.8S ribosomal RNA (bases 145-298)
Source: RNAcentral